Molecule: ribosomal RNA, 312 nt
Filed under: uncultured bacterium
Lineage: Bacteria
Description: bacterial SSU rRNA
Rfam family: Bacterial small subunit ribosomal RNA
Source: RNAcentral
GAUGAACGCUAGCGGCAGGCUUAACACAUGCAAGUCGAGGGGUAACAGAGGUAGCUUGCUACUUGCUGACGACCGGCGCACGGGUGCGUAACGCGUAUAGAAUCUACCUUUUACUGGGGGAUUAGCCUUUGGAAACGAAGAUUAAUACCCCAUAGUAUAUAUGAAUGGCAUCAUUUAUAUAUUAAAGUUUCGGCGGUAGGAGAUGACUAUGCGUUCUAUUAGUUAGUUGGUAAGGUAACGGCUUACCAAGACUACGAUAGAUAGGGGUCCUGAGAGGGAGAUCCCCCACACUGGUACUGAGACACGGACCAG